Molecule: ribosomal RNA, 424 nt
Filed under: Verrucomicrobiota bacterium
Lineage: Bacteria; Pseudomonadati; Verrucomicrobiota
Description: Verrucomicrobia bacterium partial 16S ribosomal RNA
Rfam family: Bacterial small subunit ribosomal RNA
Source: RNAcentral
UGAGGAAUAUUGGUCAAUGGACGCAAGUCUGAACCAGCCAAGUAGCGUGCAGGAUGACGGCCCUAUGGGUUGUAAACUGCUUUUAUAUGGGAAUAAAGUGAGGGACGUGUCCCUUAUUGCAUGUACCAUACGAAUAAGGACCGGCUAAUUCCGUGCCAGCAGCCGCGGUAAUACGGAAGGUCCAGGCGUUAUCCGGAUUUAUUGGGUUUAAAGGGAGCGUAGGCUGUUUGUUAAGCGUGUUGUGAAAUGUAGGAGCUCAACUUUUAGAUUGCAGCGCGAACUGGCAGACUUGAGUGCGCACAACGUAGGCGGAAUUCAUGGUGUAGCGAUGAAAUGCUUAGAUAUCAUGACGAACUCCGAUUGCGAAGGCAGCUUACGGGAGCGCAACUGACGCUAAAGCUCGAAGGUGCGGGUAUCGAACAGG